Molecule: transfer RNA, 63 nt
Filed under: Arabidopsis suecica
Lineage: Eukaryota; Viridiplantae; Streptophyta; Magnoliopsida; Brassicales; Brassicaceae
Also listed under: 1 other name
Description: tRNA-OTHER
Rfam family: tRNA
About the family: Transfer RNA (tRNA) molecules are approximately 80 nucleotides in length. Their secondary structure includes four short double-helical elements and three loops (D, anti-codon, and T loops).
Source: RNAcentral
UGUAGGACAGCUUGGUAGUGCGUUUGUUUUGGGUACAAAAUGUCACAGGUUCAAAUCCUGUCA